This 272-nucleotide long non-coding RNA is filed under the name Monodelphis domestica (gray short-tailed opossum). RNAcentral describes it as "lncRNA (ENSMODG00000046077.1)". The record is from RNAcentral. Lineage: Eukaryota; Metazoa; Chordata; Mammalia; Didelphimorphia; Didelphidae.
AUCAUCCCCUUGGGUCCCUUACAGUCUCAAUAUCCUGAUGAUAUUCAACCUAAUUCAGUGCAUGUGCUGCUUUUCUGGUGUCCUGUGCCAGACACCUCUGCCAUCUGUCCUUCUUCUGGGCAGAUUUUCUUGCCAUCAGAUGCUCUUGGUCAUCUUCCAUGGACGUCACAUAUCGUCUCAGGCCAAAAUGACCGGACCAGAGCUCCUUUGACAUAUGACCAGACUGGCAGUGGUUCAGUAGACAUUUGUUGAUGGUAACAAGUGAAUCAUAG